RNAcentral lists this ribosomal RNA (253 nucleotides) under uncultured prokaryote. Its description in RNAcentral is "partial 16S ribosomal RNA". It matches the Rfam family "Bacterial small subunit ribosomal RNA", at positions 524 to 776 of the family's 1533-position model. The record is from RNAcentral.
UACGAAGGGGGCUAGCGUUGUUCGGAAUUACUGGGCGUAAAGCGCGCGCAGGCGGUUUCUCAAGUCAGGGGUGAAAUCCCGGAGCUCAACUCCGGAACUGCCUCUGAUACAGCACGUCUUGAGUUCGAGAGAGGUGGGUGGAAUUCCUAGUGUAGAGGUGAAAUUCGUAGAUAUUAGGAAGAACACCGGUGGCGAAGGCGGCCCACUGGCUCGAUACUGACGCUGAGGUGCGAAAGCGUGGGGAGCAAACAGG